This 84-nucleotide transfer-messenger RNA is filed under the name Chromatiaceae bacterium. It matches the Rfam family "transfer-messenger RNA". From Rfam's summary of the family: Bacterial tmRNA, also known as 10Sa RNA or SsrA, is named for its dual tRNA and mRNA-like properties. Its role is to liberate the mRNA from a stalled ribosome. Lineage: Bacteria; Pseudomonadati; Pseudomonadota; Gammaproteobacteria; Chromatiales; Chromatiaceae. The record is from RNAcentral.
GGGGGUGUGAUGGAUAAUUCGACGGGUGAACGCCGCUUGUGCGGACAGCCACGGACGGGGGUUCGAUUCCCCCCACCUCCACCA